GCCCCUUUCAACCCCUUGCUUCAACACCUCUGUGUUCUCCAAGCAGCUCCCUUUGGUCGAUAGAAAGAUAGACUGCAACUCCCAUACAUGGCCUCUGCCAUCACGUUGUAGGAUUUACACCGAUUCUGUUCUCCUUAGCUUCCUUGGUAGCAACGUUCGCUUACUCGACCUUGUCCUCUGACUUGUCAGGCUCCCUUAAGCGAAUAUGGGCUCUGGAGUAGUCCAACUCUCCAGCUGCUUCGAUCAUACCUCUGCAUGAUCAAGUCCCUCCCAUGGGACUCACUGGUACUUGCAUUCAAACUUUUCCCUUGGUGGAACACGGCCCCCAUAUGCUGAUGACCAAGGCUUUCAUCCGAUGUAAAAUUUGAUGCACGCACGGAAGACCCGCCUCUGCGGUACCAUGGCCUUCACUCCUUGAAUCUAUAGCCCUUCUUGCCAUCGUGUUGUUCACCGAAGUGGAGCUUCCAGUAGCUCCCGAUCAUACCUCCGUAUGAUCUAGUCCCUCACGGGACUAUGUCAUGUGUAUCGCAUUGCCACGAACUAUUCCACCAUGAUCCGCUGCACCAUAUUGCCUCCUGGUGACAUCUCUAUUGCAUUCUGAUCCUUGUGGGAUGAACUCAAAUUGUGAUCCCUCCAUGUGUGGCCUUUGCCAAUACAUCGUAGGGUCUCUUUCACCUUCGAUUUU
This 685-nucleotide long non-coding RNA is filed under the name Musa acuminata (dwarf banana). RNAcentral describes it as "long non-coding RNA (MACU_LNC010219)". The record is from RNAcentral. Lineage: Eukaryota; Viridiplantae; Streptophyta; Magnoliopsida; Zingiberales; Musaceae.